Molecule: long non-coding RNA, 267 nt
Filed under: Prunus dulcis (almond)
Lineage: Eukaryota; Viridiplantae; Streptophyta; Magnoliopsida; Rosales; Rosaceae
Description: sRNA ncRNA
Source: RNAcentral
AUGAAUAUAACAAAGCUUCUUGAAGCAGACCCAUCUAAGCUUAUAAUCUGCAGUGGAAAAGAGAAUGAGAAGAAUGCCCAAGCAAGCAUCCAUCCCAGUACUCUUACAUUGAAAAAAAAAUUGCAUGAUCAUAAUUCUGUAACAGAAAUUGACACAUUAAAUCUAACACAAAUAACAUGUUAUCUAAAACUCAAACAAAUUAAUACAACACUUGAAAAGCAAAAAUACCACUCGACAUUCCAAAUGUCAUCUAUAAAUGGCACAUAA